UAAAUACUUCUUCCGUCCCAAAAUUCUUGUCUUAGAUUUGUCUAGGGAUGUAUCUUGUCUUAAAUUUGUCUAGGGAUGUAUCUAGUUACGUUUUAGUGUUAGAUACAUCCGUAUCUAGACAAAUCUAAGACAAUAAUUUUGGGACGGAGGGAGUAUAAG
Non-coding RNA from Triticum aestivum (bread wheat), 159 nucleotides. Lineage: Eukaryota; Viridiplantae; Streptophyta; Magnoliopsida; Poales; Poaceae. The record is from Rfam.